This is a long non-coding RNA of Xenia sp. Carnegie-2017, 494 nucleotides long. RefSeq lists it as uncharacterized. The record is from RefSeq and is a predicted model, not a curated record. The transcript is spliced from 2 exons. Lineage: Eukaryota; Metazoa; Cnidaria; Anthozoa; Malacalcyonacea; Xeniidae.
GUGAGAGCCUUUUUAUAUGCAAGCGUGAAUCUUGUUGACGGCGAAUUUAAAAAAGAAGAUGACAGAUGAUUACGGCUGCGAAAGAGGGAUAAAUGAGUCGAAUCCUGUCGUGGGUACCUACAAAAAGAACGACAAUCGUAUACAUUGGAGACUUGUGCUUCAAAAAAAUGUUUACCUGAUACAAAGCAUGGUGAAUUUUCGAUUUAUUUUGAGCACAGGAGAAAAACCAGUGGGAAUGGAAGGUGGUUGGUCAGUAUCCUUAAAGUGCGUGAUGUCAGAUCAUAAUUAUGAUGAUCGUGCACUUUGGGAGAUAAACUGAAUGAAUAGAAAGUAUUACCCAAUAGAAAUUGUAGAAUUUUAUAUAUUAAUACCCUUGGUAGGAACAGAACUUUUAGUUACGUCAUAAAAACCAUAUCCUCACGAUUUUACCCAAAUACUAGACGUGGAAGCACUACGAUUGCAUUUGAAUUAAAAAACCACUUGAAACGCUGAAA